UUGUGACAUUUAAAAAAUACAAGAAUCGACAGAAGAAAGUUCAUUUGUAGUUCUUAACAUAUUUAGGGUGUUUUUACUCCCUUUUUGUCUCUCCCACAGCGUCCAUCACAAUUACAUGCACAUUGACAAUUAUGCAAAUUAGGCGAUUAUGACAUUUAGCGACUUUUAGGAUAGCUACUUUCCUUUCCUGAGGAGUUGGCAACAGUGCCUUGGAGAUUUCUUCAAUCUCGGAGAAUGAGUACUACUGAAGACAAACGUUUCUGCGUCUCAUCAUUUUACCCUAUUAAUUCAGUUGUGUAAUAUGAUUCAAAAUAUUGAGGUAGCAUGGUUAAUUACCUAGUCCACGAGUUUCAUGUUUGAAGGCAAUUGAAGGGAUUUUUAACCGAGUGAAAAACGGGUUGUUUUUUUUCCCCAUUAUCCAAUUUGUUUUAUUUCCUAUGAAAAAAAUGCUCAGGACUGCCAUGGGCAAGUCUCUUGACGGGUACCAGGAAUGGUGGGAGGCCAAUCUGAAGGUAAUUAUCUUCGCACACAACAGCAGUGUCCAGGCCUCCAGAGUACUCACCCUAUCGCCUGCUGUACGGACGGGAGCUGCAGCUGUUUACUGAGUUGUCAAACCAGAUCAGAAGGCCUCGAGGACCACCUUCAGGCAUGGGCUGAGAAGGAUGUGGAUCAGGUGAGACUGAACAUAGCGCAGGAGAAACAGGAUUGCCAUUGGAGGAGAAUCAAGGGUACCAAGUGUUUCAAAAUCUGGGUGAAUGGUUUGGAAGAAGGAUGAAAGGAAGGCGAGAACUGGGAAACCUUGCUGCUCUGUUUCUCAAAGCUGGGCUCACCAUCUGUUAAGGGACCAUCCCUUACCUCCCUCAUCAACCCCACUGACAAACAAUUACAGACAGAACCUAGGGGUUCUGCCCAACACCCAGACAUGGAGCCACCUGAUGUCCUCCAUUACCCACCACCCUCCAACUUUUCAUUACAUUAGCUACUGUUAUUGUCAUGUCAUUAUCUGCUAAGAAAGAGCAAGAAAACUAUCAUACUGGGCACAUAAUGUGAGACGCACAGAUUAACUAAAAACACUAGCACUGCAAACUCUCAGAACAAAGCCAGCAGCAGCACCUUGACUUUAUAGUCUCCCUUCCGAGACUGACUGCCUGUUGAAAACAAGUGAGCUCCCAUCCACACAGCACCCACGUCCUCUCUAUUCCACACACCAGAAUUCAGGGGGGGAAAUGAAGUCAUAUCAGGACAUCAGUGAUUAAGGUCAGAGAAAGAUGCCAGAGUUUCUGAAUUGGAAUGCCAAGUUGGAUGACUUAAAAACAAGAACCAAAAAUCCCAGUCCCAGAGUUUAUUUUGUUUUGGAGUCCCAGUUGUCAUGAAAGCACUGAAGUCAGAGAUUGCCAAGUUCUGAGUUGUUUUGAUUGUGCCCCUAGAGACCUAGUGUACUUCUUAUCUCUGAAUAUGGCUAGCUCCUACAAAGAAGUCCUUGUGUCUGUAUUGAUGUGAGAAAUAAUCAUAUCUACACAGUAAAGGUGAAUGUCUGUGAUAUCAACUAGGCUAAUAUUUUUUGUAGCGAGGUAAUAGGCCUAUUUUAGCUAAAUCGACAAAUGAAAUUGACUAGAUUAUUCUGGCAAUGAAAAAUAUGACAAAAUCAUGUAGAUGUUUGUAAGGUGUUCAUGGUGAGAUAUUUUCUAAACUAAACAGACAAACAAGCACGUGACUCAUAACAGAUGUAGUCGUUUAAGGCAUCCACGGUAAGAUCUUUCAUAACAACCUUAGAAGCAAACUGACGUGAGGUGGUCGAUGCCACAUUACACGAUGUGAACACUACAUGUACAUGACGUGUACACGUCGGCAGUUUGAUGCCUUAGGAAAAAAACUUGUUUCCAUUGACAGUUCACGUUAAUUCAUGGCGGUAUUUUAUGGCACUUUUCAUUCCCCAUAGAAGUGUCACUGCUCAAUAUGGUAGCUGCGUGAGUGGGAGAGAGAAGCCCGUGUGCUUCGCGGUUUACCGGAUCGUUUUUCUGCAGUUUUAUUUAAGAUCACUCGCGACCCACACGCUGCAGCGCUGUCGUUCAUCAGCCAGCAGCAGAUGAUGUGCUGUCAGCCACUGACGUCAUUUUCACUCGCCAUCACUCACCGCUGUCAGCACAUGGACUCAAGCUAACCACAAGUUCUGAUUCAGCUCAUAAACUCAUCGCUGUCUCUUGGUUUCAUAUAAACUUUGAGAGAUAACGAGGAGCGACCACAAUGUGUUUUGUGCGGGGAUGUGCUUAGUAAUUAUUCUCUCAAAACGAACAAAUUAAAACGACAUGUCCUGACCAAACCUCCACAGCAUGACGGUAAAACCCAGGGAGUUAAAAUCAGAACACCUACACACUGGGUAGGAACAACAUAAAUUGACCAAAGUUUAAUUACUGCCCGUCAGGCAGCAAAGGAUAA
Molecule: long non-coding RNA, 2436 nt
Organism: Oncorhynchus gorbuscha (pink salmon)
Lineage: Eukaryota; Metazoa; Chordata; Actinopteri; Salmoniformes; Salmonidae
Exons: 7
Source: RefSeq, a predicted model, not a curated record